Molecule: ribosomal RNA, 468 nt
Filed under: uncultured bacterium
Lineage: Bacteria
Description: partial 16S ribosomal RNA
Rfam family: Bacterial small subunit ribosomal RNA
Source: RNAcentral
GACGAACGCUGGCGGCGUGCUUAACACAUGCAAGUCGAACGGAAAGGCCCUGCUUUUGUGGGGUGCUCGAGUGGCGAACGGGUGAGUAACACGUGAGUAACCUGCCCUUGACUUUGGGAUAACUUCAGGAAACUGGGGCUAAUACCGGAUAGGAGCUCCUGCUGCAUGGUGGGGGUUGGAAAGUUUCGGCGGUUGGGGAUGGACUCGCGGCUUAUCAGCUUGUUGGUGGGGUAGUGGCUUACCAAGGCUUUGACGGGUAGCCGGCCUGAGAGGGUGACCGGCCACAUUGGGACUGAGAUACAGCCCAGACUCCUACGGGAGGCAGUAGUGGGGAAUAUUGCACAAUGGGCGGAAGCCUGAUGCAGCAACGUCGCGUGCGGGAUGACGGCCUUCGGGUUGUAAACCGCUUUCGCCUGUGACGAAGCGUGAGUGACGGUAAUGGGUAAAGAAGCACCGGCUAACUACGUG